GACGAACGCUGGCGGCGUGCCUAACACAUGCAAGUCGAGCGGAGACAGUGAGUAGCUUGCUAUGAGCUGUUUUAGCGGCGGACGGGUGAGUAACGCGUGAGCAACCUUUCCCAGACAGGGGAAUAACACACCGAAAGGUGUACUAAUACCGCAUAAGACCACGGUUUCACAUGGAACUGAGGUAAAAGAUUUAUCGGUUUGGGGUGGGCUCGCGUCCGAUUAGGUAGUUGGUGAGGUAACGGCCCACCAAGCCGACGAUCGGUAGCCGACCUGAGAGGGUGAUCGGCCACAUUGGGACUGAGACACGGCCCCAACUCCUACGGGAGGCAGCAGUGGGGAAUAUUGGGCAAUGGAGGAAACUCUGACCCAGCAACGCCGCGUGGAGGAAGAAGGUUUUCGGAUCGUAAACUCCUGUCCU
RNAcentral lists this ribosomal RNA (418 nucleotides) under uncultured bacterium. RNAcentral describes it as "bacterial SSU rRNA". It matches the Rfam family "Bacterial small subunit ribosomal RNA", at positions 28 to 439 of the family's 1533-position model. The record is from RNAcentral.